AGUGAACGCUGGCGGUAGGCCUAACACAUGCAAGUCGAACGGCAGCACAGUAAGAGCUUGCUCUUACGGGUGGCGAGUGGCGGACGGGUGAGGAAUACAUCGGAAGCUACUUUUUCGUGGGGGAUAACGUAGGGAAACUUACGCUAAUACCGCAUACGACCUACGGGUGAAAGCAGUGGAUCUUCGGACCUUGCGCGAUUGAAUGAGCCGAUUUCGGAUUAGCUAGUUGGCGGGGUAAAGGCCCACCAAGGCGACGAUCCGUAGCUGGUAUGAGAGGAUGAUCAGCCACACUGGAACUGAGACACGGUCCCGACUCCUAAGGGAGGACGCAGUCGGGAAUAUUAGGCAAUGGGCGCAAGCCUGAUACAGCCCAACCGCGUGAGUGAAGAAGGACUUCGGGUUGUAAAGCCAUUUUGUUGGGAAAGAAAAACAGCAGGUUCAUCCACCGAUGUUCUGACGGUACCCAAAGAAUAAGCACCGGCUAACUACGUG
RNAcentral lists this ribosomal RNA (492 nucleotides) under uncultured bacterium. Its description in RNAcentral is "partial 16S ribosomal RNA". It matches the Rfam family "Bacterial small subunit ribosomal RNA", at positions 29 to 507 of the family's 1533-position model. The record is from RNAcentral.